Molecule: transfer RNA, 67 nt
Filed under: Poa macrocalyx
Lineage: Eukaryota; Viridiplantae; Streptophyta; Magnoliopsida; Poales; Poaceae
Description: partial tRNA-Phe
Rfam family: tRNA (bases 10-67)
About the family: Transfer RNA (tRNA) molecules are approximately 80 nucleotides in length. Their secondary structure includes four short double-helical elements and three loops (D, anti-codon, and T loops).
Source: RNAcentral
CAAGAAAAGGUCAGGAUAGCUCAGUUGGUAGAGCAGAGGACUGAAAAUCCUCGUGCACCCAGUUCAA